RNAcentral lists this long non-coding RNA (1644 nucleotides) under Bemisia tabaci. Its description in RNAcentral is "lncRNA ENSSSA3NGG013784". The record is from RNAcentral. Lineage: Eukaryota; Metazoa; Arthropoda; Insecta; Hemiptera; Aleyrodidae.
AUGAAUUUGCAAUUGCUGCUUCUUGGUAUAUUUGUUUCAGAAGUUACAAAUACCGAUGGAGAAUCUAACACACUUAAAAACCUCGCUCAAACACGCAGUUUCAUAGACAAAUCCUUACUAAUCAAGUACAUCCUAGAUAGCCGUAGGCACAUCUACAUCGAGGCCCCUCCCGGUUUCGGCAAAACUACUAACCUUCAAUUGGUUCAAGAUUUCUUCACCAUGGAGAUCGACUCAUAUGGAUACGCCAUCAAUGCGGCAAAUCUCUUGAAAACCGACAAAAUCUUUCAGGGCGUUCUGCAGAAGUAUAGAGAGCGUCACGGAAACACCUCCACAGAAUGCACAGCUUCCGAAAAAGACACCAAAGGUGAAUCCGCUCCCGUGACCGUCACGAAACCUGUCAAUGCUAUCGGAGACCACCUGAAGAACUACGUGACCUUUUCGAAGCCGCGCUUGAAAAUACUGGAGGAUUGGCCGGAGCUUUUCGAGUCCCAGUUUGCUCGGUAUCCUGUCCUCAUGAUAGACUUGGGGGUAUUAUCUACAAAUUCUUAUCAGAACUACAAAAGCUCUUUUACCAAAAUGGUUUCACGGCUCUUCGAACAAUUUAAAUACUUGUUAUUGAGCAAGCGGUUGACCAAACUCACCAAGGAUGAAUUUUUACUCUUCCGCGAUGAGUCUAAAGAACUGAGUGUAGAUGAGGUUGUGCUUGGGGGAGAAAAGUUGGUCCAUCUAUUGUCACAUCAUCAUCAGCGAAAAUCGAUAGUUUUAGUCGAUAAUUUUGACAUACCAAUUCGCAAGGCUCUUUUCGCGCAAAAACUUGAUCAGGAAAGUUUUACGAGGAUCGUGAAGGAUGUUUGUCGAUUUGUCGAGUUGCUUAUAAAAAGCGAGGAUGUGUUCCGGACCGUAGUAACGGGCAGUCUCAGAAUCGACAUCACAGAUGGACUGAUGCACCUUCCCGUCUUCCAGGAUGAAUUUUUGUAUCAGUAUUACGGCCUAACGGAAGAUAAUGUCUCAGAGCUUGCUCGGCGCUUCAACAAAGAAAAACACAUUGCCAAGGUCAGAACUUGGUACAGUGGUUACAAAGCAGGGCGUAAAGGUCAUAAUAUCUACAACACACGCUCAACGUUGAGCUGCUUUGAGACGGGUCGGCUCGAACCGUACCGAAAUGAGUCCAUACAUUUUAAAACUUUAAAAAAGCUCUUGACUUUUGACAGGAUGGGCCGUGAAAUAGAGGAUGCCUUCGAUAAUAAGACACGACUCCUCAUCAGGCAAAAGAUACCGCUGAGGUCUCUCGAGCAACUUCGCCGAUCGAUUUUUGAACUCAAUCAAACUUCAUCUGUUGUUCAUCGGGAUUUGAUCCUGCAAGUCCUCCUCGACCAUGGAUUUUAUACCGUCUACGACGGCAACAGACUCAGUGUACCGAACUUUGAGACAAAGUUGGACAUCAAUAAUCUGAUCUUCGACCGAGCAUACUACCUCACUAAACUAAAUAUAACUAACCAGACCAUUGAUGACUUUGUUCAGAGCAUUGAGCGAAUCAAUGGGGAGGAGGCAUCUCUCCACAACUUCUCCGUAGCGGUCACGGAACUCUUCAAUACCGCCUGCCGCGAGGAUCGCGUGAACUGGCGCACACCCUGCUCACUCUAG